CCAGAAAAGAGCUGAGCUCCCUGACUGAAAUCAGUCCUGUCCCUGCAUCCCCAUCUCCACAGCGCACCACAUUCUUUCAAGGUCUGCCCUUACGGACAGGCAGAAGCUGUGGUGUGGGUGCUGCUACAGCCCCAUCAGCAUUCGGGGAGGGGACACGGGCACCUGCCCGAACGCUCGUGAACCGACAGGGGGUUACAAAGCAGUUCCAUCUCACACACUGCAGUAACGGACACACCUUGUCUCUGGAUCAUUCUCUUCCACAGGGAAGGUCUGUGUCUCCCUUACAGUCACGAUCCCACCACGGCUUCUCUGUCCAUCCCCUGCAAUCCGAUGCACCAGACACAGUGACCAGCUGGAAUGGAGAUCACAGAGCAGGAGCCAACACUACUCAGAAGCUCAUCAUGAGACUCAUGCUCAGGAGAAAAAGAUGGAUGGGACUCUGACUGUAACUGAGUUCCCACAGUCAGAUAGACAUGUUCUCCCUCCUCCUUUCCCUCCCUCUUCCCUUCACACCCCUCAAUGUAUAACGCUUUCUACAGGGCCAUGGUCAUCUUGUAUAAACCUGGAUGGUCCCUUGGAAGGGUAACCCCAUGUUUCCUGUUCAGCCUGACUGACUGCUCCCUCCCUGCUCCCUUGCUCCAGCAUUUCUGUAAUGACAGUGUCAGAGUAUCAGGGAACUGAUCCAGCUGUAAACUAGUUCAAGGAAAAAAGUUACUGUCUAGUGGCACCACAGACUUAUUUCAAGGCCCAAAUGACUGGAAGGAGACCCAAGAAGCUGAUGUGGCUGGGCUCCAGGAUCCUGCUGCCCUUUUAUGGGGUAGGCAAGACAUUUGUAAGAAACUCUCUCAGAGCUCAAGAUGAGCUCAGGAUAGUGACCAAAUCUGAACAAAUCUGCUAAGUUUGAUUGUAGCUGGACCCAUUCGUAAUAAACUGGCAUCCACCAAGAAAA
This is a long non-coding RNA of Columba livia (rock pigeon), 949 nucleotides long. RefSeq lists it as uncharacterized. Lineage: Eukaryota; Metazoa; Chordata; Aves; Columbiformes; Columbidae. The transcript has 2 exons. The record is from RefSeq and is a predicted model, not a curated record.